Molecule: unclassified non-coding RNA, 148 nt
Organism: Pongo abelii (Sumatran orangutan)
Lineage: Eukaryota; Metazoa; Chordata; Mammalia; Primates; Hominidae
Rfam family: Metazoan signal recognition particle RNA
About the family: The signal recognition particle (SRP) is a universally conserved ribonucleoprotein. It is involved in the co-translational targeting of proteins to membranes.
Source: Ensembl
GCUGGGCGUAGUGGCGCAUGCCUGUAGUCCCAGCUACUCAGGAGGCUGAGGCAGGAGAAUCACUUGAACCUGGGAGGUGGAGGUUGCAGUGAGCCAAGAUUGCGCCACUGCACUCCAGCCUGGGUGACAGAGUGAGAUUCUGUCUCAA